Molecule: transfer RNA, 72 nt
Filed under: Candidatus Kaiserbacteria bacterium RIFCSPHIGHO2_01_FULL_50_13
Lineage: Bacteria; Candidatus Kaiseribacteriota
Also listed under: 2 other names
Description: tRNA-Cys
Rfam family: tRNA
About the family: Transfer RNA (tRNA) molecules are approximately 80 nucleotides in length. Their secondary structure includes four short double-helical elements and three loops (D, anti-codon, and T loops).
Source: RNAcentral
GGCCCGAUGGUGAAGUAGAAACACGGGGCUCUGCAAAAGCUCUAUGCGCGGGUGCAAUUCCCGCUCGGGCCU